Molecule: ribosomal RNA, 120 nt
Filed under: Lepisosteus oculatus (spotted gar)
Lineage: Eukaryota; Metazoa; Chordata; Actinopteri; Semionotiformes; Lepisosteidae
Source: RNAcentral
GUUUACGGUCACACCAGCCUGAAUGUGUGCCUGAUCCCAUCCGAUCUCGGAUGCUAACCAGGCUCGGGCCGAUCAGUACUGGGCAAGGCGGGGUCCUGGGAACAACCGGUGCCGUCAGCU